ACAACAGACGGAAACGACUGCUAAUACCGCAUAAGCGCACAGCUUCGCAUGAAGCAGUGUGAAAAACUCCGGUGGUACAAGAUGGACCCGCGUCUGAUUAGCUAGUUGGUAAGGUAACGGCUUACCAAGGCGACGAUCAGUAGCCGGCUUGAGAGAGUGAACGGCCACAUUGGGACUGAGACACGGCCCAGACUCCUACGGGAGGCAGCAGUGGGGAAUAUUGCACAAUGGGGGAAACCCUGAUGCAGCGACGCCGCGUGAGUGAAGAAGUAUUUCGGUAUGUAAAGCUCUAUCAGCAGGGAAGAUAAUGACGGUAUCUGACUAAGAAGCCCCGGCUAACUACGUGCCAGCAGCCGCGGUAAUACGUAGGGGGCAAGCGUUAUCCGGAUUUACUGGGUGUAAAGGGUGCGUAGGUGGCAAGGCAAGUCAGAUGUGAAAGCCCGGGGCUCAACCCCGGUAUUGCAUUUGAAACUGUUUAGCUAGAGUGCAGGAGAGGUAAGUGGAAUUCCUAGUGUAGCGGUGAAAUGCGUAGAUAUUAGGAGGAACACCAGUGGCGAAGGCGGCUUUCUGGACGACAACUGACGCUGAGGCGCGAAAGUGUGGGGAGCAAACAGGAUUAGAUACCCUGGUAGUCCACACCGUAAACGAUGGAUACUAGGUGUAGGAGGUAUCGACCCCUUCUGUGCCGCAGUUAACACAAUAAGUAUCCCACCUGGGGAGUACGACCGCAAGGUUGAAACUCAAAGGAAUUGACGGGGGCCCGCACAAGCAGUGGAGUAUGUGGUUUAAUUCGAAGCAACGCGAAGAACCUUACCUGGGCUUGACAUCCCUGGAAUCGAGUAGAGAUACUUGAGUGCCUUCGGGAAUCAGGUGACAGGUGGUGCAUGGUUGUCGUCAGCUCGUGUCGUGAGUUGUUGGGUUAAGUCCCGCAACGAGCGCAACCCCUAUUGUCAGUUGCCAUCAUUAAGUUGGGCACUCUGGCGAGACUGCCGGUGACAAAUCGGAGGAAGGUGGGGACGACGUCAAAUCAUCAUGCCCCUUAUGCCCAGGGCUGCACACGUACUACAAUGCCCAGUACAGAGGGGGCCGAAGCCGCGAGGCGGAGGAAAUCCUGAAAACUGGGCCCAGUUCGGACUGUAGGCUGCAACCCGCCUACACGAAGCCGGAAUCGCUAGUAAUGGCGCAUCAGCUACGGCGCCGUGAAUACGUUCCCGGGUCUUGCCCUCAAAGGCCGUCA
Molecule: ribosomal RNA, 1237 nt
Filed under: uncultured bacterium
Lineage: Bacteria
Description: partial 16S ribosomal RNA
Rfam family: Bacterial small subunit ribosomal RNA
Source: RNAcentral